GCUCAAAUAAAUUGGUUAGUCUCUAAGGUGCCAAAAGUCCUCCUUUUCUUUUUGAUCUAUCUCAGUAUCCUGUCUCUGAGAGUGGCCAGUACCAGCGCUUCAGAGGGAGUGUAGCGAACAGGGCAGUUGCAGAGUUCCCCUGUCUUCCCCCUCCCAGUCUCUGUAGUCAGAGGUUUAGGGUUGCCUCAAGCAUGGUGUUACAUCCCUGACCAUCUUGGCUAAUAGCCUAUCCUCAAUUUUCUUAUCUAGUUCUUUUCUAAACCCAGGUAUACUUUUGGCCAUAGGGACAUACCAUGGCAGUGAGUUCCACAGGUCAGUUUAAUCGAGUGAAGGCUCCUCUCCCUCUGUUUUGUUUCUUUGUAUUGUGGGAAAGGGAAAAUAAUAUGUCUCUAUCCACUUUUUCUACACCUUUCAUCAUUUUAUAGACCUCUAUCAGAUCCCUCUGUAGUUUCCUCUUCUCUUAAACUGAACAAGACGAAUGUUUUUAGUCUCUCCUCAUACGGAAGCCAUUCCAUGCUCUUCGUCAUUAUUGUCCCCCUGCUCUGCCACUAUAUCGUUUUUCAGAUGAGGCCACCAGAACUGGACACGGUAUUCAAGGUAUGGGUGCACCGAGGAUUAUAUAGUGGCAUUAUGAUAGUUUCUCUUAUUUUUCUAUCCCUUUACUGAUAGGUACUAACAUUCUGUAAGCCUCUUUGACUGCUGCUAUGCAUUGAGCUGAUGUUUUCAGAGCAUUAUCCAUGGUGACUCCAAGGUCUCUUUCUUGAGUGGUUAACAGCUAAUUUAGAACACAUCAUUUUGUAUGUGUAGUUGGGAUUAUUUUUUUCCAGCGUGCAUUACUUUGCAUUUCUCAAAAUUGAAUUUCAUCGGCCAGUUUAUUGCCAAGUCACCCGCAUUUGUGACAUCCCCUGCAAUGCUCUGCAGUCAGCUUCUCAGCUCCUUGGAGCUCAGAUCAAGUGUUAGUAGACCCUCGGUCUAUCAAAUGCUGUGAUCGUCUUGAUGUUUUUGGUCUUUUGGCCCUGAGCUGAAAACCUUGUCUGUGUCUCUUGGACCGUGAAGUAAAAACAUUAUCUAAGUUAUAUCUGCUAUGUCCUUUAUUUGAGAACGGUAUAUGAAAUUUGAUUUUUGAAUUAGAGAGGUAGAAGAGCAGCUUUCUCUGUCCACCCUGUGCAUCAACCUGACAUUGCAGUACUUCCAAGAAUGGUGUAUCUCUUUUGGGGAGAAUAUUUUGGUUAGAAAAAUAGAAAGAGUUUCACUGUGUUUUUGUAUGGCUUCUUUGAAGUAGAUCUUUACAAUAGUUGAAAUGCAUUGGUUUGUUUAUGAUGAAAUAUAGUUAAAGUUUCUUGUAGUGUUCUGUGAGACUAUAUAUGUGAGUUUCUUUGUUUUACUGGAGAAUUGUUUAAAAAGCUGGGGUUUUACUUUCUGCUGUGAUUGCUUUUGACAAUAUGAGGAAUUAAUGUUUUCCAGACUUGCGGGUCUGUGGGGGGGACUUUUUUCUUUAAUUUUGUGUUUUGUAAUAUUGAAAGUCUCAGGUAGAUCAAUGACUGCCUAAGUUACAUAGACUUCUCCCCACCCAGCAUAUGCUCCCAGUAUCUUGGUUUGUAAAAUCCAGUGAAGGUACUAUGCGUCAUGCUGCUCCCAGGGGUGCCAGUCCCGAUGAGGUUUUUUUCAAACCUAAUGUAAUGUAAAUUCUAAAUAAUAAUCCUUAUCAGUGUUGCCAACCCUCACCACUGGAAAUCAUGAGUAAAACUCCCGGAAAUCAUGGGAUUGGCUUAAAAAUCAUGAGAAUUUUUGUUUUUUAAUGUCAUGUGGGUUCUCUUUAUUUCCCUUUCAGUUUCUGAGCCUUUAAGGGGCUCUCAGGUCCCAUUUGAAACAUUUCCUCUGCAACCGGGCAAGCUAGAAACUUAUCUUUCUAGGACAGACCCAGCCCCAGAGAGCAGGAGCCCUGGGCACCUGGGGCUGGCAGACAAUGGGGCUCCUGGUGGUUAUAUAUUCUAUACUUAGAUUUCACCAGCCAAGUAUCAAGUGUGAACUCUUCAGACACUAAAACAGCCUUAACUUGGAGUCACAGACAGUCCCCUUGGGCACGCUGGUCUAUCUUGCCAGCCAGGUGAGCUCACCUUUGUGAUAGAUGGUGCCUUACACUAAAAACCACAACAGUAUUCAGGUCAUUCCCGGUCACUCGCCCGGUAAAUUGCAACUCAGACCGAAGACAACGCCCAUAGGCAAUCCUAUAAUAAACUAACUAAAUAUUUAUUCACUAGGAAAAGAAAUAAGAAACUUAUUUGCCAGGUUAAAGCAGGUAAACAUACUCACAAAUGAAGCCUUAUUUUGAUGAGGUUGCUUUUUGAUGUAAAAAAAUAGAAUGAUUUCAGGAGUUUUAUCAUAAGUUAACGAGGUUUACUGUCUGUGCAGAAAAUGAAAGGAACUAAGUUUGUGCUUGAAGGUUUCCCUUGUUGACAGUUGAGUUUUUAGGAAGUUACGUAGCAUAACUCUGAUGAUGCUGAAAGGCCUCGCUCAAAAACUAUUUAUUUUUGAAUGAGAUUGUACAUUAUAGAUAAUAUCUGACAUUAAUUCUAGAAUUCAUGACUGAGAAAUUCUGGGCAAACAGCUUGGUGGCUGGAUUCAAACCGAAGCACUGAUAUUGCAGAGCCUUCCAUUUCUGCCAAAGUGAUAGCCACAGCAGCUCAUCUACUUGCCUAGUGUAGCAACUUUGUGAAGGCCCAGAGUUACUCCAUUUAUCUUUUACUCCUGGGGGAAUUCUGCGCGUGUGCAUAAUUAAUGAACCAUGCAUAUUUUAAAUUUUUUUGCACAGAAAAAAGCUUCUGCCAAAAUGUUGCUGCAGUUCUGCCUUUUGCCCACGAGAGGGCAUUGUGGCGAUCAAAGAAAGCAGCAGCUCUUGGCCAGCUAAGGAAGAGAAAGCCUGACUUCUUCACAUCGCCUGUUAGGCCAGGUGUGCGACCAAUAGCUGAGUUUCUGGCCAAUUCCGAGUCAGAAGAGGUGGAAAGAACAAGUGGAAGUUCUGUUGAAUUCUUUAGGCCAUGGCAAUCUCAAGUAUCAGAAUCAAGUAUACAAAGGCCUGAUUGCUUUGCUGACAUGCACCCCCACAAAGCCCAAUAGCUGUCUCUGCAGACACUCAGGACUGCGCAGGCACUUGUCAUCAAGGAAGGUUGGGGAUUGCCACCCCCUUGCACUCCCCAAAUCUACAGGACCGAGAGGAGAGGAUUUUAUAGAGAUUUUGAAAACAUUUUGUCUCUCUUUUCUCCACACUUUGUAUAACACUUGUCUUCUUUCACUGUAAGCUCUUCAGGGCAGGGAACUUUUCUACCUUUUUGUCUAGCCCCAAAGCAGUGGGGCCGUGAUCCUGAUCGGAGCCUCUGGGUGCUGCCAUAUUAAAAAUACUAAAUAACAGUAAUUAAUAAUUUGCUGCCCCAAUAACUGCAGUCCUGAGUCUGAGAACCCUGGGGUCACACUGGGCAACCAUUACUUUGGUGAGCACUUACAUGAGGAGCCCUAUUCGAGAAUGAGUGCUCACUGACUAACCUGAGUAAGGGCUGCAGCAUCAGCCCCAAGAGACCAUUUCCCCGAGUCUCUCGGAGCACAGUGCUGUGCAGUUCUCUGUAUCCCGAGGAUCCAACACGUGUGAACAUUUCAGUGGGCUGCAGAUGCGAGAGGAGUAACAGCCCCCUUGUUCCUUGCGCGGCCUGCUAAGGGGGUGGCGGAGGCUGGGGAGGAGCCGGCCGCUUUCUGCUGCCCCGGGGCGGGAGCCCCUGCAGACUCCGGGCAGUGGCCGGUCCGGCCCCACCAGCUCGCCCGGGGCGGCUCAGCGGCCCUUGCACCGGCCCUUUCUCGCGGGCAAACGGGAGCGACCAGAGCCCCGAGCCCGACUGCACCGCACCUGCCCCGCAAGCUCCCAGCCCGGGGGCGUCUCGCGCGUGGCUCCGGGUAACUCGUGGGCUGCGGGGACCCCGCGAGCCAGCGCCCCGCCCAGAGCCGCGUUCCAGGGGCUGCAGCUCGGAGGCCGGGGCUCCCCCGCCCUCUACGAUCUACCCGGGAAUGCUAAUUUUCAUACCCGUGAUGCAUUGCGCACCCUGUGCCGCGUCCCUGAUCCAUGGGCUGGGUUUGCUCGCAGGGACCCUGGUUCCGAGGAGCAAACGCGCGCUUUAAUCGGGCCCGUGCAACAGGCUGUAAAAACGGGGGGUUUAGCCCCCCGUCAGUAGAGUCACCGUGAGGUAGUGAAGUGUUGCUGUUGCCCUGGGAGCCCUUCUGCAGAGUGUAAAGUAUACUCUGGUUUUUCUUCAGAUCGUAUAAAUCUUUCGCCUUUUACUAAAGAUUUCCGUGGAGAGGAACAUUUAUGAGUUUCUACCUAAUUUUUUGAGGCUUCACUUCGGUGAAGCUAUCUAAUGUUGUGAAAAAAACAGAACAAGUUGUGUGUGCAAGAAAAUUUGUGUUUGUUUUAUAAAACUUUUUAGCUGUAAUUUAUGGUUUUGGAAGGGACAUGCUAUUUUUUCUUUUUGUAUAUGAUGGGUUGUGUUGUGUAACUUUUUAAGCCGGGUGUGUUUUGUGACCCAUCUUCCUCUGAGGGUGGACCGGGUUGCUUAGUGUUACUACCAUGUCCAGACAAUAAUUGUAUAGUGUAAACAAUAACUUGCAGAUCUGUUUUAAUUUGUCAUUUUCUUUGUGCAUGGUUUCAGUUCCAAAUUAAGGAUUUAGAAUAUUAAUUAAUCCCCAUGCCCUAUGCAUAGAAUUUAGCUCCAGCUGCAUGUUUUCUGUUAUUUAAUGGUGCAAAAAGAGGGUACUCAUGUUGGCCUAAAUUAUGUUAUGCAGAAGUCACAAUUAAUUCUUUGACCCCAGGUUUUCCCAUAGGAACAUCAGAACUGCCAUACUGGGUCACACCAAUGGUUGAUCUAUCUCGGUAUCCUGUCUCUGAGAGUGGCCAGUACCAGCGCUUCAGAGGGAGUGUAGCGAACAGGGCAGUUGCAGAGUUCCCCUGUCUUCCCCCUCCCAGUCUCUGUAGUCAGAGGUUUAGGGUUGCCUCAAGCAUGGUGUUGAUUCCCUGACCAUCUUGGCUAAUAGCCUAUCCUCAAUUUUCUUAUCUAGUUCUUUUCUGAACCCACGUAUACUUUUGGCCAUCAGGACAUACCAUGGCAGUGAGUUCCACAGGUCAGUUUAAUCGAGUGAAGGCCCCUCUCCCUCUGUUUUGUUUCUUUGUAUUGUGGGAAAGGGAAAAUAAUACGUCUCUAUCCACUUUUUCUACACCUGUCAUCAUUUUAUAGACCUCUAUUAGAUCCCUCUUUAGUUGCCUCUUCUAAACUGGACUAAUGUUUUUAGUCUCUCCUCAUACGGAAGCCAUUCCAUGCUCUUUGUCAUCAUUGUCCCCCUCCUUUGAAUGUUUUCCAGUUGCACUAUAUCCUUUUUCAGAUGAGACCACCAGAACUGGACACGGUAUUCAAGGUGUGGGUGCACCAAGGAUUAUAUAGUAGCAUUGUGAUAGUUUCUCUUAUUUUUCUAUCCCUUUCCUGAUAGUUACUAACAUUCUGUAAGCCUCUUUCACUGCUGCUAUGCAUUGAGCUGAAGUUUUCAGAGCAUUAUUCAUGGUGACUCCAAGAUCUCUUUCUUGAGUGGUUAACAGCUAAUUUAGAACACAUCAUUUUGUACGUGUAGUUGGGAUUAUUUUUUCCCAACGUGCAUUACUUUGUAUUUCUCAAAAUUGAAUUUCAUCGGCCAGUUUAUUGUCCAAUCACCCACAUUUGUGACAUCCCCUGCAAUGCUUUGCAGUCAGCUUUGGACAUUACUGUUUUGAAUAACUUUGUGUCAUCUGCAAACUUUUCCUCUUCGCUGUUCACUCCCGUUACAGAUCAUUUAUUAAUAUGUUGAACAGCACAGGUACCAGUGACCACCUCCACAGCUUGGGAAACAGUAUUGCCAAACAGAAAAACAGGAAGAGCAGUUAGGAGAUGUCAUCUCCAACAGGACUUCAGCCUACGAAAUAGGGGAUAAUGCUUUGGCCACAAGACCAAUGAGGGGCAAUAGCCCUAGAUAUGAGAGGGCCCACAUGACUGCAUAGCUCUGUUCACACCAGGGAAGAUUAAAUAAAUGUUAUACAGCUCAUUGCAUGAUUGCUCUUUUCAACAAAAUACUUCAGAUUUUAUAUAACAGGAAAGGGCCCUGCUACCUUCUCCCCCCACCCCAGACCCCUGUUUUCCCCACAGUGCACACAUUCAACAUCUGCUGCUCGCAGAUGUUACAUUCACCUCACACAGAAAGACCUACUACAAAGCAAUUCUAGUUGAAAUAAAAUAACUUGUUAUAAUGUUUAUUAUAUAUGCUUAAUUAUAAAUUAUAUUAGCAAAAUCUAUAAUUAAAAUGAAGUUUCUCAUGAACCACACACUAGUUGCAAACCUUUGACUGUAUGGUCACCUUUGGUAAGGGUAAAACUGCCUUACUAAGGAGAUUUGAGAAGUCUUAUAAAUGCAACAGACAUGGCGAAUGAGCCAAAAGCAAACACCCUCCUCCCGCCCCCACUCCAGCUGUCGCUGUACUCCAGGGUACUUCAGACUUGAACUAUGUAAAUGAGAGCCAUUGCUAUGGGUACCAAUACUCUUACUCAUCAAAUAAGAGUCACCAUGAGGAGAUAAAUGUUGUUUUGCUUUUGACAUAAUAGAUCUAUCCAAUUUCUAUUAUGUGACUAAGGAAGUUGUUGUAGACAGCUACGAAUGAUCAUUCACUGUUGUCUACUGUAUAUUUCUAGAUGGUCAGUUCUGGCAGAUAGCAGAUGAUCAUGCCAUUCUUGUUAUGAUUCACUUCUGGAGCGAUAAAGGUAGUAGCCCACCUCCCAUAGGCCAGCAGAUGUGGAAUGGUUUUUAUCUAAAAACAAAGUUGCCUUCAAAAUGCAUGUUUUUCUAUCAGCCUUCUCUUGGUGUAGGUCACAUUGUAGGGAAAUAGUGUUUUGGCUUUAGAGAUGGGCAGGAUGCAGUGGAUUUUUCUGAUGUAGCAUUUUUUAAAAUGUCUAUUGCUUUAUUUGAGAGUAAUCAAACAUGGACAGCCCCUGAGCCCUGCCUUAAGCCAGGCUUGAGGAGGAGGUAUAGCUGAGUAAAGAAAAGUUACGCCAUUUUUAGGGAGGCUGCACAAACUAGAUCAUGUCAAUGUAAAAGGAAGAGGAAAAGAAGAUUAAAGACCCUGUGUCAGAUGUGGGAAACACACCACUCUUCUAAAAGAAGAGGGAGCUGGACAUUUGUACUCAGUUAUCUAGCACAACUCACAAGAAGUCAUGUCCUUACCAUCCAUAUCUAUGCUGCUGAUUCACUUGUAACUGCUAGAUAUUAAGCUGACCUAUUGUAUCUUAACUUUUACAAAGGUAUUAAGCCAUAUAUUUAAUUACAACUGACAAGGAAAGUAUUUGGUUCUCCGUCAGAGCUUGGGACUUCUUGUUUUCUUAGGUGUUAAGUAAGAAACCAACCUAAAGAUCAGAUAAAGUCCUCCCACGGAGGUCUUAUGUCACCUAAACACAUGCCUUGGUUUGUGGAGAACAUGGCACUGGAAAGGUGGUUUGAAAGUGUGGUAAACAAAUGUACAAGGAAAAUUAACAAGCUCAGAGCAACAUGAUACCAUCAUCAUGGGGGAUAUCAAAGAAAGUAGUAUCUAGUCUUCAGAAUUGAGACAGCAGAAAGACAUAGAUCCUUUGAAUAAGGUACAGCUUGGUGGAUUUGUUUCUUAGGUUUCUCUAACUUCCCCUCUUUCCAGCAUACAAAAUAACCACUACAAGCUCCUGGAGCUUAGUUUUCAAUUGAAAAAUAAGAAUUCCUAAAUUGCUAACUCCACUUUAAAGUAAAAUCAAAACCAAAGUGUCCAUGUGUUACAAAUGACCAAUAGCCUCCCUCCUCUCAAACCCAAUAACUAAGAUCCAAUGCGCUGCAAUGUUAUUUUAUUCUCCCCAAUUGGCCAAAAGGUUCCAUAAUUUAUGGUUUUCUUCCCUUCUUGCGCAGGGACUGGCCUUCUCCUGAAAAUGCAAUGAACCGGCUGCCAGAGUCAUCCUGAAUGUAGGAGGGAGAAAGAUUUGUUUAGGUUCAGCUUUUGUUAUUAUUGAACAAAGAGAAAACCUGCUUUAGACAACAACAUUCCAUCAUAAAAGCACUACUCCAUUGGCUACUGACAUUUCACAUCCAUAAAUUUACACAGAAAACAGGCUGCUUCCCCAAAAGUUGCUAGUGUUUCAGUGACCUUUUGUAGAUUUAAUUCAAAAUCCCUUUGCAUCACUUCCAUUUUAUAUUUCCUCCUCCAAGCUUAUACAAGGCAAAUCUUUUUAUGUUAGCUAACAUAAGAA
Long non-coding RNA from Chelonia mydas (Green sea turtle), 8320 nucleotides. RefSeq lists it as uncharacterized. The transcript is spliced from 3 exons. The record is from RefSeq and is a predicted model, not a curated record. NCBI's taxonomy places the organism in Eukaryota, Metazoa, Chordata, Testudines, Cheloniidae.